RNAcentral lists this long non-coding RNA (236 nucleotides) under Ananas comosus (pineapple). Its description in RNAcentral is "long non-coding RNA (ACOM_LNC007210)". Lineage: Eukaryota; Viridiplantae; Streptophyta; Magnoliopsida; Poales; Bromeliaceae. The record is from RNAcentral.
UGCUUUGAACGACUAAGGCAGACUAUAUACCAUAUUCACAUCAGAUGGACCUUCAUCAGUCGAUUUUUCUUGAAUCCUCUGUUUCUUUUCUUCAGACUCCUUUGCCAUCUCUGCUGAGGAGUCACUUUCCAUUCGUGUCUCCCUUUCCUUGGGAGGCCAUCUUUCUUGCUUAAUAAUUGUCUCGAGAGAUGCUAUAUUCUCCUCUAGCUCUCUCUGAGUUAUCUUCUCUUCUGGUU